RNAcentral lists this ribosomal RNA (200 nucleotides) under uncultured bacterium. Its description in RNAcentral is "partial 16S ribosomal RNA". It matches the Rfam family "Bacterial small subunit ribosomal RNA", at positions 29 to 259 of the family's 1533-position model. The record is from RNAcentral.
AGCGAACGCUGGCGGCAGGCCUAACACAUGCAAGUCGAACGAGCCUUCGGGCUAGUGGCGGACGGGUGAGUAACACGUGGGAACGUACCUUUAGGUUCGGAACAACUCAGGGAAACUUGAGCUAAUACCGGAUAAGCCCUUCGGGGAAAGAUUUAUCGCCUUUAGAGCGGCCCGCGUUAGAUUAGCUAGUUGGUGGGGUA